UCCGUGGCUCAGGACACGCUGGCGGUGUGCUUCACACAUGCAAGUCGAACGAGGUAGCAAUACCUAGUGGCGGACGGGUGAGUAACGCGUGGGAAUCUGCCUUUAGAUGGGGGAUAACGGGUCGAAAGACUCGCUAAUACCGCAUAUGACGAAAGUUGAAAGGAGUAAUCCGUCUAAAGAUGAGCCCGCGUCCGAUUAGCUAGUUGGUAGAGUAAAAGCCUACCAAGGCGACGAUCGGUAGCUGGUCUGAGAGGAUGAUCAGCCACAAUGGGACUGAGACACGGCCCAUACUCCUACGGGAGGCAGCAGUGGGAAUUUUACGCAAUGGGCGAAAGCCUGACGUAGCGACACCGCGUGAGCGAAGAAGCCCCUUGGGGUGUAAAGCUCUGUCAGCUGGAACGAAAAAAAUGACGGUACCAGCAGAGGAAGCAUCGGCUAACUACGUG
This 446-nucleotide ribosomal RNA is filed under the name uncultured bacterium. RNAcentral describes it as "bacterial SSU rRNA". It matches the Rfam family "Bacterial small subunit ribosomal RNA", at positions 16 to 507 of the family's 1533-position model. The record is from RNAcentral.